This 71-nucleotide transfer RNA is filed under the name Planctomycetaceae bacterium. RNAcentral describes it as "tRNA-Thr". It matches the Rfam family "tRNA". Rfam says of the family: Transfer RNA (tRNA) molecules are approximately 80 nucleotides in length. Lineage: Bacteria; Pseudomonadati; Planctomycetota; Planctomycetia; Planctomycetales; Planctomycetaceae. The record is from RNAcentral.
GCCGGAUUCGUCUAACGGUAGGACGCGGAGCCCGUAACUCCGCUGUGGGGGUUCAAUUCCUUCAUCCGGCU